UUAACUCAUGGGUAUAUCAUCAACCUGAACUAGAAAGAUGCCUGAUCACUAAAACAUCUCACAAUUUCAAUCCUUCCACUCAGAGGUAGGUACUCAAACAAGAGAAUUGCUAGGUCCAUUGUCCAGGCCUGGUCCUCACGAGGAGAUGAAUACCCUAGAACCUGGCUUAGGACAGUCACAAUGGGCCUCGGAACCUUCUUCCUCUCCAUCUCCUCUGCAUAUUGGCCUUUUGCUUAUUCCAGUUUUGCUCUCCAGCCCUUCCCUGAUUCCCAAGUCUGGUUCUUUAAGUUAACUGAGAAUGUGUUCUGUUACAAAUUCAGAAGUCUCUCCCCUAGUCCUUCUGGCCUGUUUGCCUGCUCUGCCUUUCUCCUUUUCUCUUCUGUUGGGACCUGGAGAUCUUCUGACAGAGGCCUGUGAGCUGAGCAGCUCCAGCAGUUGGAUCUCCAUGAAUUACCAAGGGAUGUAAAGACUUAGAAGAGAGUUACAAGAGGAAAUGUAAAACCAUCCAUUUUUACCAAAAUUAAAUGUGCAAAAGGCUACAUAUUGGAGGGAUGAGGACAGGAAAGAAUAAGAGGUAAAUAGCAAAUGGGAAAAUGAGAAAGGAAAACAAGUGUUUAACAAACACUACUUAAAAUUCUCCUCAAGACAAAGCCUGAAGCACAGUCAGCCUCGGCCCAAAGCACCUGCGUGGUCCAUUUUCCACCCUUAAAGCCCCUGAUAUUCCCCUGGAUGCUUAAUUCUCUGAGGAAAAAACCCUAGUCUAAAUCCAUUUGAUCCUGAAAACACAAAGGUCCAUAUCCGAAGCACCCCAGUCCUUCAGUGUAACCUUUCUUACCUUCCUAGUUCUCUCUCCUUUCCUCAGUUGAAUAACCUGCAUUUUAAAAAUAACUGAAUUAUCCAUGCAUUGUUUUACCACAUUACUUCAAUGGCCUCUUCUGAUUACAGCGCCAACCUUCUGGCCUCCACUUCCUACAAAAUCUGUCUCUUCCUGUCUGUCUUUUCUCCCCACCACCCCCCGAUCUUAUCUAUUCCCUUUCCUGUCACCUCUUCAAGGAUUAACAGGGUGAAAACACUCAUUCCAUCAGCAGUCACUGAUGCUCAGGUGUGGCACAGGAGAAUUUCUAACAUGGCCUGGAAGCAAUCUAAUAGGAAGGGCGAGGAAGGGGAGUGGAUGGAGAAGCCAGAUGUCUUGCCCAAGAAAUAUCUGUAUUUCAGGGUGGUGUGUAGAGGAAACUACCAGCUUGCUCCCAGUGCCCUGCUGAUGCAAAGCAGCAUAAAUCUGCCUCUUCCCCUCUUACAUAUUAUUCCAGGCACUCCAGCAUUCACAUACUCAUGUUCACUGACAACUGCCCCUCUUGGAAGCACUCCACCAGGGAGCUCAUCAGAUAGCAGUCAUUUAGCAAGGCCCCCAGUGCCUGAACCACUUUUUUUGCCAGCAUAUUCACCCAUUCACUCUGCCAACACAUGGCAAAAGAGGUGCCACCAAGGACUCUUCUGUUUAUAACACCUACUGAUCACACUCUGAGGUUAAGUCAGCUCUGGCACUGUGAAGCAUACAUGUGCAGAAAGGUGAAUGAAGCUACAGCAAAGAAUCCGUGAUCUCUACAGUAGCCUGGCAGGCUGAUUUUCUAUCACCUAAAAUUAAUUAUAUGGCAUAACAUGCAGAGACAUCCACAGAACAAGGGAGACAGGUUGGAUCAGGGCUAAGAAGUACCUGAAUGAGAGUGAUGGAGCCCAGAAGCAGCUUUACCAUGAUUACUUACACAGAGGAGAGGUUGGGCUAGAAUAUUUUCCAGUUGGAGAAAAUUUGAAAGUGGUUCAAUCAGUGAAAUGUAACCACACAUACAAUCAUCAUGGUGAAAAUCCCUGAGAUGUUUUUCAGCUCCCUCUAGCCAGAAUAUGAACAAUACCUAAUGAUUGUGCAGUGCUUAUAGCUCAACGAAGCACUCUCAUGUAUCUCAUUUCAGUCAUUACAUCAUCCAUUAUUUUAUGGACAAAGCAGCUUUGGCUCAGAGAGGUUCAGUGAUCUGCCCAAGGUCAUGCAGCUGGCAAGAGGCAGAGACAAACGGAAGCCCCAGGUGUCAGACAAAGGUCUUGUGACUGCACGCCUCAGAUUGAUGCCACCAUGGUCCACAGUGCUCAGAGAAACAAGGACAGGAACAAGAAAGGCCCAAAGAACCGAGAACAAUGUGUGUACUAAAGCCAUCCAACAGCAUCAAUUGACUAUAAAAAUUCAGCUUCUUUAGUGACUCAUAACCAGGUCAAAGCUUUGAUUUUAUUGAACGGUCCAGUAAGCUCAUUCAAUGGACAUAAAAAAAUCUCCAUAAUAGAAAAUACGCAUAUGCAUGUAUAUUUAUCCCAUAUAGAAACCAUGGGAUAUUUUUAUACUUGAAUCUUUUGGAAUAAAAUGUAAUAUUUCUCCCCA
This is a long non-coding RNA of Pan troglodytes (chimpanzee), 2425 nucleotides long. RefSeq lists it as uncharacterized. The record is from RefSeq and is a predicted model, not a curated record. NCBI's taxonomy places the organism in Eukaryota, Metazoa, Chordata, Mammalia, Primates, Hominidae. The transcript is spliced from 3 exons.